This 759-nucleotide ribosomal RNA is filed under the name uncultured Enterobacteriaceae bacterium. RNAcentral's name for it is "bacterial SSU rRNA". It matches the Rfam family "Bacterial small subunit ribosomal RNA", at positions 28 to 776 of the family's 1533-position model. The record is from RNAcentral. Lineage: Bacteria; Pseudomonadati; Pseudomonadota; Gammaproteobacteria; Enterobacterales; Enterobacteriaceae.
AUUGAACGCUGGCGGCAGGCCUAACACAUGCAAGUCGAGCGGCAGCGGAAAGUAGCUUGCUACUUUGCCGGCGAGCGGCGGACGGGUGAGUAAUGUCUGGGAAACUGCCUGAUGGAGGGGGAUAACUACUGGAAACGGUAGCUAAUACCGCAUGACCUCGAAAGAGCAAAGUGGGGGAUCUUCGGACCUCACGCCAUCGGAUGUGCCCAGAUGGGAUUAGCUAGUAGGUGAGGUAAUGGCUCACCUAGGCGACGAUCCCUAGCUGGUCUGAGAGGAUGACCAGCCACACUGGAACUGAGACACGGUCCAGACUCCUACGGGAGGCAGCAGUGGGGAAUAUUGCACAAUGGGCGCAAGCCUGAUGCAGCCAUGCCGCGUGUGUGAAGAAGGCCUUAGGGUUGUAAAGCACUUUCAGCGAGGAGGAAGGCACCAUACUUAAUACGUGUGGUGAUUGACGUUACUCGCAGAAGAAGCACCGGCUAACUCCGUGCCAGCAGCCGCGGUAAUACGGAGGGUGCAAGCGUUAAUCGGAAUUACUGGACGUAAAGCGCACGCAGGCGGUUUGUUAAGUCAGAUGUGAAAUCCCCGCGCUUAACGUGGGAACUGCAUUUGAAACUGGCAAGCUAGAGUCUUGUAGAGGGGGGUAGAAUUCCAGGUGUAGCGGUGAAAUGCGUAGAGAUCUGGAGGAAUACCGGUGGCGAAGGCGGCCCCCUGGACAAAGACUGACGCUCAGGUGCGAAAGCGUGGGGAGCAAACAGG